Molecule: ribosomal RNA, 253 nt
Filed under: uncultured microorganism
Description: partial 16S ribosomal RNA
Rfam family: Bacterial small subunit ribosomal RNA
Source: RNAcentral
UACGGAGGGUGCGAGCGUUAAUCGGAAUUACUGGGCGUAAAGCGCGCGUAGGUGGUUCGUUAAGUUGGAUGUGAAAGCCCCGGGCUCAACCUGGGAACUGCAUCCAAAACUGGCGAGCUAGAGUAUGGCAGAGGGUGGUGGAAUUUCCUGUGUAGCGGUGAAAUGCGUAGAUAUAGGAAGGAACACCAGUGGCGAAGGCGACCACCUGGGCUAAUACUGACACUGAGGUGCGAAAGCGUGGGGAGCAAACAGG